Schistocerca gregaria is the source of this 429-nucleotide long non-coding RNA. RefSeq lists it as uncharacterized. The transcript has 3 exons. The record is from RefSeq and is a predicted model, not a curated record. Lineage: Eukaryota; Metazoa; Arthropoda; Insecta; Orthoptera; Acrididae.
GUAUCCCUCCGCCACUGCUAAUUCUGCGACUCCUGCGAUUACUGCGACUUACCAUCGUACGAAAAAGUUAAAUCUGUCCACACAAAAAUUGCAUCCGAACAAACCUGUCAUUGGCAAGUACCCGAACUACAUUUCAGUCAAUCAGUAAAGUGAUAACUCAAAAUAUCAUUUGCAACAGAUCUGGAGAAAUUGCCACGCGUCUUUAGACCGUUUUCGUCAGACGAGAGACACUGUGAUUACUGGUUGCUGUACGUAUCUGUCCACAUUAAGGUUGUUGCGAGAGACUCGUGAAGGUUCAAGACAGCCCUUAGAGGAUUUGCAGUUUAAAAGUGACAUAAUUGUGAAAUAAGUGUGCAGACGAGUGAUUAAACUGUGUUUUAUUGAAGUUGUACGAUUUUAAAGGAAUAAUAAAUGUUAAAUACAGUGAGU